RNAcentral lists this long non-coding RNA (5943 nucleotides) under Vitis vinifera (wine grape). RNAcentral describes it as "long non-coding RNA (VVIN_LNC002595)". Lineage: Eukaryota; Viridiplantae; Streptophyta; Magnoliopsida; Vitales; Vitaceae. The record is from RNAcentral.
UCUCCUCCUCCUCCUCCUCCUCCUCCUGCUUUCUCCCUCUCUUAGCUUCCUUCUCCCACCAUGACUUCAAAAGACUGCGGCAACCAUAGGCACAAGCAUCAUAAGCUGAGGCGAUGCUUCGCCGGAUUGCUUAUCUUCUUCUUCAUCGUCCUCCUCGUCGUACUCCUGGUGUGGGCAAUCCUCCAGCCCAAGGACCCACGCUUCGUCCUCCAAGACGCCACCAUCUACGCCCUCAACGUCUCCACCCCGAAUAUCCUCACCGUCAACAUCCAAGUCACCAUCACCACCCGCAACCCCAACGACAAGAUCGGCAUCUACUAUGAGAAACUCGACACCUACGCCACCUACCGCGGCCAGCAGAUUACCCUCGCGUACCUCAUCCCCCCCACCUACCAGGGCCACAAGGAGAUCAUCACCUGGUCACCUUUUCUCUCCGGCACGGCCGUACCCGUGGCUCCCUACAACGCCAUUGCACUGAAUCAGGACCAGUCGUAUGGCGCCCUCACCUUGAUCAUCAAGAUUGAUGGACGGGUGAAAUGGAAAGUUGGUUCCUUCACAUCAGGCCGUUAUCAUCUUAACGUCAAGUGUGUGGCGCCUAUUACUUUCGGUGCCAGGAGCAGCGGUGUUGUUAUCGGUAACGCCGUUAAGUACCAGAUGGCUUCCACUUGCAGCGUCAGCGUUUGAGCUUCUUCACGCCGUUAGUAUUAUUUCUCUCCCUUUGUCCUCUUCUUUUAAUUCUGUUUCUCUCCCUUGAGUCUCUAGUCAUACGUCUUUUGAAUUGUACAUUUUGCUAAGAAUAAAAGCGGAAAAAAAUUGGAAAGCAAAAUUGCAAUGUUAUGAAAAUUGUAUAACCGUGCUAUUAUAAGAUUAUGAUUUGUGCAAUAAUUAUUUCCAAGGGGUGGAGGGUGUGCUGUCCCUUUCUAUCAUUUUUCUAUGGUUGCUUCCUUCAAGAAAAUGAAAAUUAAAAGGAUGGGGGCACCUGUUUUAUUUUAGAGUGACUGGUUGAUGUGAUCCAUAAUUUUAUAUGUAUUUUGUCUUUCGUUUUUCGCAAAAUAGAAAGUCCAAUUCAUGAACACACCUAAGUUAAUUAGGUGUUAUCUUCAAAGUGGAUAGCAAGAAAAACGGUCACAUGGGGCUAUUAAAUCUCUUUUUCGCAAUGGGAGGAGAUGGUAAAAGUUUCCAAUAUCUCAAUAUAGUAGAAACCCAAGCCUCACCCAUUCAACACAAGAAUUUUUUUCUUUGUUUUAGAGAGAGAGAGAGAGAGAGAGAGAGAGAGAAUACCCUUAAAAGUAAUGUGAAGGUCGUAGCUGGUGUAUGGGUGUUGCAAUCUUGGGCAAAAGGCAUGAGUAGUGAGUUGUGGGUGUUGGGUCUUCAACAGUUCAACACUCGUAUGGCUUUGGUGGCUGUCCUUUUCGCUUCUCACCUGCCCUACCUACUAAUAAUAAUUGCUUUGUUAGAAAUAGACUUUUUUUUUUCUAAAUGUCUACGAUCGACGCUCCUGCUUUUCUUUCCCCAGUGUCUUUUAGAAGAUGAUGUCGGUCGAAGAUCCCACGUGUAAGAAAAUUUAAGUCCACCCAGUGCAUCAAUCUUCAACAUAAUCUCAUAUUGCCCAUCUAUUUUUGUCUGGGAGAAUCAUGUAUCAUAUAUUCAUAUGCACUUCCAUAUCCAUGCUUAUACCCACCCCACUCACUCCUUUUUGGACCUGUGCUAGCUCGACCAGCAAAACAUUGGGCUUUAAGUGCUUAUAUUAUGGGCUGGGCUAGGCAGUUUCUGCAACUUCAAAGCCCAUGCACUGAAAUAUUGUAUAUAUUAACUUCCACAAGUAAUGAAUUGAUAAAAUCUCUUACUCAAAAGGCCACAGCAACAGCAUUCACCCAUAAUAGAUGAGACAAAAACAAAUUUUGGUUUCAAUUUUGAAAUAUUGUGAAUUUAUUUUAGAUUAAUUUUUUGUCUAAAUUUUUUUAUGAAAUUUAAUAUCUGAAUUUGAUGAGUUAUGAGACAAAAAUAGUGAUCAUUUGUAGUAAAGUGUUGUUUCAAUUUUGGAAUAGUGUGAUUUUAUUUUAGAUUAGUCUCUUAUUCAAAUGAAAGUGAUUUUAAUAUUGUUCAUCUUCUUUUUUAGUUACAAUUUAUGAGAAAAUUUAAUAUCUAAAUUUUCUUGAGAAAAAUGAUAGAAAUUACGUUUUUAAAAUUUUUAUUUUAUUUUUAAGAUAAAAGCUAUCUAAAAUUUUUUUAAAUGAAUUUUAUUUUAUUUUAUGUAAGAAAUUACGUUUUAAGUAUUAUAAUAAAAUUAAAUUUUGAAAAGAUAAAAACGAAAAGAGAAGAAGUGAUACAAGUUAAAAAAAAAAAAAAAAGGAUCUCUAACUUCCUUGUAAUUUUUUUUUAUUAAAAAGAAAACAAAUCUUAAAUAAAUUUGUUAUAUUUUUAUAACCAGACCUACAGGUUGGACCCAAAAGGCCUAAGGUCCAUGAACUGGAGUCAGUUUGGGAGCUUGCAUUAUUAACUCCCAAAGAUCGUCCAGAACUAGGCCAGACUAGGUAUAGUGGAGCACUGCAUGAGCAAGCUGGGCCUCUCUGCCAAAUAUGAAAGGGUACGCCAGACUUCAGCAAUAUGUUUACCCGAUCUCAAGAUUGGCCCAAAAGUAGGCCCAUUCCUACAUAGUCCAUGGUCACGAUAUAUAUAUAUAUAUAUAUAUAUAUAUAUAUAUAUAUAUAUAAAGGCUGUUCCACAUUUGCGUUAAACAACACCGGUCAAGGGCCAAGGCACCAAACAUUGUUGGACCGAUCAAGGGCAGACACGCUUGUAUAGGAGUUUUGACCCAAAAUAGUAUAUUUAAAAAAAAAUAAAUUCAUAAAAUAAACUUGUUUCCAAAAUAAAGCUCGAUCUACAUUUGUGUUACAUAAACUGUCAUAUCAUAAAACCAUAGUCGGUAAUGAUGAUUUUAUUUUUUAAAAACGGUUAGAAACUGUAGUCACCAACCAUAAUUUUAAUUUUAAAUUUAAAGUCGCUACGAUUUUGAAUUCUUUUAAAAUUUGUCAAAAACGUAGUUACCAAUUGCGAUUUUAACUUUAUAUAUAUAAAUUUAAUUUUUUAAAUAAACAUAUUAUAUUAUUUUGAUUUUAAAUAAACUUAUUUCAUUAUUUAAAAAAUAAUAAUAUAUGAGAUUAAAUAAUUGAUAUUUUUAUUUGAUAUAAAUAUAUAUAUAUAUAUAUAUAUAUAUAUUAAUUUUAUUAAAACAAUAGGCACUAUAUUUAAUAUAAAUAUAUUUAGUUAAUUAUAUUUAUUUAAAACAAAUAAAUUGUGAAAGCUUAUUAAAAAAACAAAUAAUAUAAAUUAUUAUAUUAAUUAGUAAUUUUUUAUAUACUAUAUAUAAAUGGCAUAUAAUAUCACACGUAUAUAAGUUCAAUUUAAGUUUAAAAUUUAUAGUUCAUAAUAUUAUAUUGAUAUGAUAAUAAUUUACUUAUAUAUUUAAAUAAAAAUAUGAUAAAUUUUAAAUUUAAAUUAAACUUUUAUAUAUAGGUGAUAUUAUAUACCACUUACAUAUAAUACAUAAAAAAUUAUUAAUUAAUAUAAUAAUUUAUAUAUAUAUUUUUUCUAAAUAGUCUUUCAUAAUUUAUUUAUUUUAAAUAAAUAUAAUUUAUUAUAUUUCAUUUAUAUUAAAUAUAAUGCUAAUUUUUUUAAUAAAAUUAAAAAAAAAAUAUUUUUAUAUCAAAUUAAAAAUAUCAAUUAUUUAAUUUUAUAUAUUAUUAUUAUUUAAAUAAUAAGAUAAAUUUAUUUAAAAUCAAAAUAAUAUAAUAUUUUUAUUUUAAGAAAAUUAAAAUUAAAACGUGGUCCGUGAUUAUGGUUUCUAUUUUAAAAAAAUAAAAUCAUAAUCACCUAUUAUCAGCCAAUUUUAGAUGGUAACCUGAAAGGCCCAUUACCAGGAUUUGUGCGCCAUUGCGACGCGUGUGGCGCGCCUACCGAGUUUGACUGAUAAGCCACGAGAAAUGUUAGGAAUCUUCUAAUUUGUCCUCUACGGUUCAUGGCAUCUUUCAUGUGAGAACGAAAGCUACGAAGUUUCCUGGGCAACUUCCCAUCCACAAAAAUUGCGUUCAAGAUUAUCAUGAACUCCUUCCACCUCACCCACCCCUUUUUUAAUUCGACCCCAUUUUCCAAUUUUACGUGCCAUGACUUUAUCAUACCUUUAAUCAAUCAUAUUUUAAGAAAUGCUGCAUUGUUUUUUCAAGUUAAAUGAUCUCACGUGUAGACAAACUGAUAAAAAGGCAAUUAGAUUACGCAAGACUUAUGCGUUAACUGUUUCAUAAGUAAAAGAAUUUGGCUACCCACCCGGCUUUGACAAUGAUUGGUUUUGCCUAUUUUCUAUCUUUCCUUUUGCAUUCUAAUUUCCGUGAGCUUCCAUGGAUCUUUUUAUCCAACUUCAAAAUGAGAAAUGGGUUUAAUCAUAUAUAGGGUAGAGGAAAAGUGGAAAAACAUUGUAGACUGUAGAGUUGCUCUCAAAGUUUGUUACUUCCUGUGUGUUCCUAUGACUUUCAUUAAAGAAUAGGAUUUACUAUUUGCCCAGUUAAAGUCUCAUGACAUCACUUUGAAUUCUUACCAGAAUUAUUGGAAGAAAAUGUCUUAAUAAAUAAAAAAAUAAAAAAACCUACUAAAAAUAUCUAAUGGAAACAAAGUAAAGCGUUAAAUAAAUCUACUAAAUUAACAUUUGAAUUCUUUUCUAAACAUUAAUCUCAUUCCAAGUGCCUUUAAUUUUAAUACUUUUAAAUAAUUUCCUUUAAUUUAUAUAAUAUAUGUAAUAUUAUCUUUAUAUAAUAUUAAUUACAUUAUCCUUUAAUUCUAAAAAUGCAUUUAAUAAUGAUGGUCCGGAGUUUUUCUAAUUUUUUUAAUACGUAAAACAAAAUUUAUUUUAGAAAUAUUAUAAACAAUUUUUUAGAAUAGUUGUGAAAUGCACUUUAAAAUACAUUGAAUUAUGAAUUUUAAUUAUAUAUUUUAUGAUGCUUGAUGAUUUUAAAAAGAGGCCAACAUUGUUUAUUUUAAAUAUAUCUUCAUGAUAGAGCAAGAUUUUUUCCAUGUGUGACUCUAAGAUCAUAAAAUGAGGUGACAUUGGUAUGACAAUUAGAAAUGUUAAAAAAUACAAAUAAAAAUUUAUAUAUGUAGUUUGGCAUAUCGGGUUGAAUAAAAGGUAAUUACAUGAUGUUAAAAUUAAGUCUAUAUCAAUUACUUAUGUUAAUUAAUUUUAAUAAAAAGUGGAAAUAUUGCAAAUACAAAUAGAAAUGAAUGUAGAAAAUAAGUUUUUUUAAAUAGUUUAAGAAAAUUAAUAUUAUAUAUUUAAUUCAAUGUGAUAAAAUAUUUAGGAAUUAAAAACUGAAAUCAAUGUGGCCGAUAUGAUAAGAGUUUUUUUUUUUUUUUUUUUUUUAAUUUGAAAUGUGAAGAUAUUUUAUAAGAUAUUGAGUUGAUUAAGAAAUAGAAAUAAAUAAUACAAUGGGAUAUUUUGAGAAAAAUAAGUUCAUAACAUUUUAUUCUUAAAAAAUAUGUAAAAAGGAAAUUAAGUAAUAUAUAUAUAUACAAUUUUACUAUUAAUAAACCUCAUCACCAUUGCAUUAAUAUCUACAUUGUUUUUUUUUUAACUCUUCAUUUUUAUUAUGCAUUUAUACUUAAAAAUCAAUAAAAGCAUAUAAAAAAAAUAUUUAAAAUCUAAUAAUAUAUUUUAAAAAAAAUAUAGAAAAUAAUGUUUAGGUAAAUGAGGGAAUAGAAUAAUUAGUAAAUAAAUUUCUUUUCACUUAACUCCUUCCGAUUCUAAACAGAUGCUUAAUUUCUUGGUACUUUUAUAUGUAGGAUAGAAUAUAGAUAUAAAUAUAAAUAUAGAUUAUUUCACCAACCUCUAGUUUGAAAAUAAAUAUUUUUAAUUAAUUUCUCUAUAAAAGUCAAAUAACAUUUUUCCCAUUUCUU